UGGGGAAUUUUGCACAAUGGGGGAAACCCUGAUGCAGCGACGCCGCGUGAUUUAGAAGGCCUUCGGGUUGUAAAAAUCUUUUCUAUGGGAAGAAAAUGACAGUACCAUAGGAAUAAGGACCGGCUAAUUACGUGCCAGCAGCCGCGGUAAUACGUAAGGUCCGAGCGUUGUCCGGAAUCAUUGGGCGUAAAGGGUACGUAGGCGGGUAAGCAAGUUAGAAGUGAAAUCCUAUAGCUCAACUAUAGUAAGCUUUUAAAACUGCUAAGCUUGAGGUAUGGAAGGGAAAGUGGAAUUCCUAGUGUAGCGGUGAAAUGCGCAGAUAUUAGGAGGAAUACCGGUGGCGAAGGCGACUUUCUGGCCAUAACCUGACGCUGAGGUACGAAAGCGUGGGUAGCAAACAGG
RNAcentral lists this ribosomal RNA (402 nucleotides) under bacterium. RNAcentral's name for it is "partial 16S ribosomal RNA". It matches the Rfam family "Bacterial small subunit ribosomal RNA", at positions 355 to 776 of the family's 1533-position model. The record is from RNAcentral.